AUUUGCCGUCGUCCUCCGUCCUCACUCCCGCAACUCCAUUGAAGCAGCUCGGUUAUCAGCUCAAGAUUUGUUUUCUCUCUCUCUCUAUUUAUUUAUAAACUCGCUUUACUUCUUCUUGUUCCCCUUCUUAGGGUUGUCGAUGCGUUACCAAAUCAAGUGAAUGGAACUUGGAUAUGAAUACAUACUUGUUUUUCUCUGAAACCCUACAUCAGCAAAGACAAUUCUCCAGUUGAAGCAUACGUAACUUAAAGUUGUGAACCCAGAUCCUCUGAAGUCUGAAAUGUAGAGCUGUUGAUUCUGGUCUGCUAUCUUGAUAUUUCAUGAAAAUAAGUUCUUUGAUAAAUUUAUUAAGGAGCGGAAAGAGAAAGAUCCAAAGAUUGAUGUAGCAGUUGCAACUAAGUUUGUUGCAUUACCAUGGAGAUUAGGACGCGAAAGUGUUGUCAAAGCCUUAAAGGAUCCUCUCAGUCGCCUAGAACUCUCGUCUCUGGAGCUGUAUCAACUACACUGGAUUUUUGUCAAAGGACAACACCGUAUGAUGUUGACGAGUUGAAUGUGGUUCGAGAGCAGUGGGCGCAAUACUUUAGAAGUAAAUAUUUAUUGAAUGCAUAACUAUUAGCUUAGGUAGAACAAAGUAAUAUUAUUAGUGUUGUUGUAUGUGUUGGAUAAAUUUAUACAAGUUUUUAUUUGUUAUGUAUUA
Long non-coding RNA from Chenopodium quinoa (quinoa), 697 nucleotides. RefSeq lists it as uncharacterized. Lineage: Eukaryota; Viridiplantae; Streptophyta; Magnoliopsida; Caryophyllales; Amaranthaceae. The record is from RefSeq and is a predicted model, not a curated record. The transcript is spliced from 3 exons.